GGGCGGGUAGCUCAGCUGGGAGAGCGUCGGCCUUACAAGCCGGAGGCCACAGGUUCGAGCCCUGUCCCGCCUA
RNAcentral lists this transfer RNA (73 nucleotides) under Candidatus Tectimicrobiota bacterium. Its description in RNAcentral is "Candidatus Tectomicrobia bacterium tRNA-Val". It matches the Rfam family "tRNA". From Rfam's summary of the family: Transfer RNA (tRNA) molecules are approximately 80 nucleotides in length. Their secondary structure includes four short double-helical elements and three loops (D, anti-codon, and T loops). RNAcentral also lists the same sequence under 1 other name. The record is from RNAcentral. Lineage: Bacteria; Pseudomonadati; Candidatus Tectimicrobiota.